UUGAAUAACACAACACAACUGGCACUUAUAAUGCUCACUAGUGUUUAUUUAUAUUUUAUAUACAAAUAUAUUUAUACAGAAUUUUUUAAUUGAGAAAACAAGGGAGAAUAUCUUGGCAAAGAUACUGAAGUGUUUUUCUUUUCUUUUCCAUCUCCAGCUUCAUUUACAGAUAAAGCCCUGAGGCAAACAAGAGUUAAGUGGCGUACAUCAAGUUACACAACUAGUAUAUCUUAUCAUGGUUGUUGCUACAAGAAAUAUUCAUUACCUCCAAGCUAUUUGGAAUGAAAUUCUUUCAAGAGGAAGAGAGACCAAAAAAGCUUGUAUGAACUGACUGAAAUGAGAAGAACCAGGAACCAAUUUAUAGAAUACUAAGAACAUUGUGAUGUAAAGAAAAAUACCUUGUUAAAGACUUAAGUACUCUAAUAAACUAAAUGACCAACUGUGAUUUCA
RNAcentral lists this long non-coding RNA (450 nucleotides) under Monodelphis domestica (gray short-tailed opossum). Its description in RNAcentral is "lncRNA (ENSMODG00000035492.2)". Lineage: Eukaryota; Metazoa; Chordata; Mammalia; Didelphimorphia; Didelphidae. The record is from RNAcentral.